UACGGGAGGCAGCAGUGGGGGAUAUUGCGCAAUGGGGGAAACCCUGACGCAGCAACGCCGCGUGGAGGAUGACGGUUUUCGGAUUGUAAACUCCUUUUAUGGGGGACGAACUAAGACGGUACCCCAUGAAUAAGCUCCGGCUAACUACGUGCCAGCAGCCGCGGUAAU
Molecule: ribosomal RNA, 168 nt
Filed under: uncultured rumen bacterium
Lineage: Bacteria
Description: partial 16S ribosomal RNA
Rfam family: Bacterial small subunit ribosomal RNA
Source: RNAcentral